Long non-coding RNA from Heterocephalus glaber (naked mole-rat), 1631 nucleotides. RefSeq lists it as uncharacterized. The record is from RefSeq and is a predicted model, not a curated record. NCBI's taxonomy places the organism in Eukaryota, Metazoa, Chordata, Mammalia, Rodentia, Bathyergidae.
ACAGGCACGGCGUCACUGAGCUAAGUCCCCAGCCAAGGAAAUAUUUUUGAUUAUUACAAGUUGGGAGUGGUACUGACAUCAAGUGAGAAGAGUCCAAGGGUGCUUCUAAACACCCUAUAGUGCCCAGGAUAGCCUCUCACGACAGAGAAGUCUCUGGCCCCAAAUGCCAAUAUGGCCAAGGCUAAGAAAACCUAGCUAGCCAAUCAGAUUUUCCAAAGAGGAAGUUGUCCGGGCUACGCAAGUGGAGAAACCAUGGGGCGUGGGCAUACAUGUUAUGGGGCCUCUCGGGUUCUAUGACAGAAUGUGAGCUUAAGUUCCAGGCAGAGGUUGACCAAGUUGUCAAAUUCUUCAAGGCUCUCUGUUGAGAGACCAACCUCAACCAUCAGCAUUAUUUACUUGUCAUAAUGGCCACAUGUUGAGGACAAUAUGAACUCAGAAGAGGCACAAUCAGAGGCCGGGGUGUAGCUCAAUGAUAGAGUUGCUUUCCUGGCAUGCAUCAGGCUCUGGGUUCAAGGCCCAGCCCUGGAAGAAAAAGGGACGGAGCAAAAUCACACUCAGAAUUCCAGGAACUAAACCAGGGGAGGUCUUUGUUUUUUGUUUUGUUUUAUUUUCUUUUGUUUUCACAGUGCUGGGGACGAAACCCAGGAGCAUAUAUGCAUGCUAUGGCAAAUGACUACUACUGAACUAUCCCUCCAACCUCACAAGGAAAUUCUUUGAAUGAUAUCCUUCUUACUAAAAAGAACUGCAGUGUGAAUUUUCACUUUGCCCAUUUUCCUCUGAAAGGUUGAGAAUCCCAACUGCUCAGGGCUACAAUAAAUCUCCUCUAUUUCUGUUUAGGUGAAAAGAAUAUAUCUGCAUUCAUGGCCUUCCUGGAAAAAGUAAUUUUCUCUUGCCGGUAACAAAUGAUAGACAAGGGAAGUCUAAGGAACAGGAGAUAAUGGAGGUGACAGUUUCUGGGCCUCUAUAUGUUUUAACUAUCUUUUCUUUUCUUUUCUUUUCACUUUUCCCAUUUGUUAGAUACCAAUGUGCUUGGUGACCUUCUGCAGGGCACUUAAUCUCCCUGAGCCUGAGUUUCCUCAUCAGCAAACUUCAAGCUGUUGGAACAGGCCAUAGUGUCACAGGAAGGAGAAGCACAGCAUUUCUUUUCCUCUGGAUCUCUGCUUCAAGAGGCUACUGUCUCAGUUCCAGCUCCCACUGUUAAUUCCUGGACCAACUUGUGACCAGUUUGAGGUUAGAUCCUGAUAUCAUCUUGACAAUACCAAGAAAUACAAAAGGAAGACUCUCAGCACUCCAAAAGGCUAAUUCCCCAGAGAUAAGCUGCUUCUCCAAACUCCCUCAUGCCAAGAGUGGAAUAAACCGCCACCCCCUCCUCUCUUCUGCUCAGAGGAAUGGAUGGAAAUGUAGAUGUUGCCCCAGGAGGUCAGAGUCAAGCCAGAGGAAAGAAGCCCAAAAGGACCAGGAAGGAUGAAACAAGCAUGGAGUCAUCACUGUUUAAUCGUAUCCCCUCUGCCCUCUCUUCCUUACCAUGAAAGGACCUUCCACAGCUGGACAUGAUGAGACAGUGGUGCAUGGCAAUGUGAGGCCCUCCAUCUCCUUGGAGCCAGCUUUGAGUAAAGCCCUUUUCCUUUUCA